This 433-nucleotide ribosomal RNA is filed under the name uncultured bacterium. RNAcentral's name for it is "partial 16S ribosomal RNA". It matches the Rfam family "Bacterial small subunit ribosomal RNA", at positions 29 to 507 of the family's 1533-position model. The record is from RNAcentral.
AACGAACGCUGGCGGCAUGCCUAACACAUGCAAGUCGAACGAGACCUUCGGGUCUAGUGGCGCACGGGUGCGUAACGCGUGGGAACCUGCCCUUAGGUUCGGAAUAACUCCCCGAAAGGGGUGCUAAUACCGGAUAAUGUCUUCGGACCAAAGAUUUAUCGCCUUUGGAUGGGCCCGCGUUGGAUUAGCUAGUUGGUAGGGUAAAAGCCUACCAAGGCGACGAUCCAUAGCUGGUCUGAGAGGAUGAUCAGCCACACUUGGACUGGGACACGGCCCAGACUUCUACGGGAGGCAGCAGUGGGGAAUAUUGGACGAUGGGCGAAAGACUGAUCCAGCAAUGCCGCGUGAGUGAUGAAGGCCUUAGGGUUGUAAAGCUCUUUUACCCGGGAUGAUAAUGACAGUACCGGGAGAAUAAGCGCCGGCUAACUCCGUG